This 305-nucleotide ribosomal RNA is filed under the name uncultured bacterium. RNAcentral describes it as "partial 16S ribosomal RNA". It matches the Rfam family "Bacterial small subunit ribosomal RNA", at positions 335 to 642 of the family's 1533-position model. The record is from RNAcentral.
UUUCCUACGGGGGGCAGCAGUGGGGAAUAUUGCACAAUGGGGGAAACCCUGAUGCAGCGACGCCGCGUGAGUGAAGAAGUAUCUCGGUACGUAAAGCUCUAUCAGCAGGGAAGAAAAAAAGUCUUUGGCUUUGGACGGUACCUGACUAAGAAGCCCCGGCUAACUACGUGCCAGCAGCCGCGGUAAUACGUAGGGGGCAAGCGUUAUCCGGAUUUACUGGGUGUAAAGGGAGCGUAGACGGCAGUGCAAGUCUGAAGUGAAAGGCGGGGGCCCAACCCCCGGACUGCUUUGGAAACUGUGCUGCU